CCUACGGGAGGCAGCAGUGGGGGAUAGUGCACAAUGGGGGAAACCCUGAUGCAGCGACGCCGCGUGAGUGAAGAAGUAUUUCGGUAUGUAAAGCUCUAUCAGCAGGGAAGAAAAUGACAGUACCUGACCAAGAAGCCCCGGUCAACUACGGGCCAGCAGCCGCGGUAAUACGUAGGGGGCAAGCGUUAUCCGGAUUGACUGGGUGUAAAGGGAGCGUAGACGGUUAUGGAAGUCUGGAGUGAAAGCCCGGGGCCCCACCCCGGGACUGCUUUGGAAACUGUGUAACUGGAGUACAGGAGGGGCAGGCGGCAUUCCUGGUGUAGCGGUGCAAUGCGUAGAUCUCAGGAGGAACCCCGGCGGCGAAGGCGGCCUGCUGGACUGAACCUGCCGUUGAGGCUCGAAAGCGUGGGGAGCAAACAGGAUUAGCUCCCCUAGUAGUC
RNAcentral lists this ribosomal RNA (440 nucleotides) under uncultured bacterium. RNAcentral describes it as "partial 16S ribosomal RNA". It matches the Rfam family "Bacterial small subunit ribosomal RNA", at positions 338 to 795 of the family's 1533-position model. The record is from RNAcentral.